GAAGGGCUGGUCUCUGGGCUAAAUUGAAACAAGACAAAUUUCAACCAGAAGACUUUCUAUCAUGCUCUGUCCUGGCCUGCUGUGGGCACUCAUGGUCUCCUUUAGCUUCAGAUUCAGCAUGACUAAGAGAGUAACCCAAGUUCAGACUAUAGUGACACGGCAGAAAGGAGAUGCUGUGACAAUGGACUGCACCUAUGAAUCCAAAUGGAGUAAUUAUGAUUUAUACUGGUACAAACAGCCUCCUAAUGGAAAGAUGGUUUUCCUUAUUUAUCAGCACUCUUCUAGUCCAAAUGCAAAGCAGGAUCGGUACUCUGUGAACUUGCAAACGGCAGAAACAAUCAUCAGCCUCACCAUCUCUUCCUUGCAACUGGUAGACUCAGCGAAGUACUUCUGUGCUCUUCACAACCACAGAAAUAAAAAUGAUAGUGGAAGAUUAACAAAAAUCUUCAGCUCCAUAAAGGCAGCCACCUGCUCAGAGGCUUCGGGAAAACCCAUAAACCACAGACAGGAAGGAGGCAGGCACUGUGUGUGA
Pteropus alecto (black flying fox) is the source of this 532-nucleotide non-coding RNA. The record is from the annotation of a RefSeq genome assembly. NCBI's taxonomy places the organism in Eukaryota, Metazoa, Chordata, Mammalia, Chiroptera, Pteropodidae.